RNAcentral lists this ribosomal RNA (466 nucleotides) under uncultured soil bacterium. RNAcentral's name for it is "bacterial SSU rRNA". It matches the Rfam family "Bacterial small subunit ribosomal RNA", at positions 26 to 522 of the family's 1533-position model. The record is from RNAcentral.
AGGAUAAACGCUGGCGGCGUGCCUAAAACAUGCAAGUCGAACGGCACCUUCGGGUGUAGUGGCGAACGGCUGAGUAACACGUGGGUGACCUGCCCUCGAACGGGGGAUAACUGCCCGAAAGGGUGGCUAAUACCGCAGAUGUCAUGGGUUCGUUCUCAUGACUGAACCUCCGGGGUUCGAGGAGGGGCCCGCGGCCGAUUAGCUCGCUGGUGGGUAACGGCCUACCAGGGCUUCGAUCGGUAGCUGGUCUGAGAGGAUGAUCAGCCAGACUGGGACUGCGAACGGCCCAGACUCCUACGGGAGGCAGCAGUUAGGAAUUUGGGCAAGUGGGCGAAAGCCUGACCCAGCAACGCCGCGUGGGUGACGAAGGCCCGUACGGGUCGUAAACGCCCUUUUCCCGAGGGAACGAUGAGUCGACGGUACCGUGGGAAUCGACGCCCGCGUAACUACGUGUCAGCACGCCGAC